Molecule: ribosomal RNA, 253 nt
Filed under: uncultured bacterium
Lineage: Bacteria
Description: partial 16S ribosomal RNA
Rfam family: Bacterial small subunit ribosomal RNA
Source: RNAcentral
UACGUAGGGUGCAAGCGUUAAUCGGAAUUACUGGGCGUAAAGCGUGCGCAGGCGGUGAUGUACGACAGUUUUGAAAUCCCCGGGCUCAACCUGGGAACUGCAUCUGUGACUGCAUCGCUGGAGUACGGUAGAGGGGGAUGGAAUUCCGCGUGUAGCAGUGAAAUGCGUAGAUAUGCGGAGGAACACCGAUGGCGAAGGCAAUCCCCUGGACCUGUACUGACGCUCAUGCACGAAAGCGUGGGGAGCAAACAGG